AUAUAGUCAUGCAUAGCAUAUCAAUAAGCGGAGGAAAAGAAACUAACAAGGAUUCCCCUAGUAACUGCGAGUGAAGCGGGAAGAGCUCAAAUUUGAAAUCUUAAAAGGUUUUCCUUUUACGAAUUGUAGUUUAAAGAAGUGUUUUCUGUAGAAAUUUUAGUAAAAGUUCUUUGGAAUAGGACAUCAUAGAGGGUGAGAAUCCCGUAUUUGACUAGAAUUUUUCAACUUUGUGAUACACUUUCAAAGAGUCGGAUUGUUUGGGAAUGCAGUCCAAAAUGGGUGGUAAAUUUCAUCUAAAGCUAAAUAUUGGCGAGAGACCGAUAGCGAACAAGUACCGUGAGGGAAAGAUGAAAAGAACUUUGAAAAGAGAGUUAAAUAGUACGUGAAAUUGUCCAAAAGGGAAGCGUUUGGCACCAGUGUUGUUUUUCUAAAAAUCAAUUUAAAAUUUAGCUUAUGUUAAGUAUUUUAGACUUUAAUCAGGCUAUAUAAUUUAGUUUUUUGUAAUUUUUGAAUGCACUUUUUAGUUAACAAGUCAACAUCAAUUUCUUUUGUUGUAAAAGAAUAAGAGGAAGGUGGCUUGGAUUUAGUUUCAAGUGUUUAUAGCCUUUUAUUUAUGCAAUAGGAGGGAUUGAGGUCUGCAGCAUAGAUCCUUCGGGGCUAGAUGCAUUUGUCGCUAAGAGUCAGUAUUAUAUAAACAACUUGUUGAUUAUAGUAGUAUGUUGAUUUCUACUCGCGAGUGUUAUUUUACCUACGCUUAGGAUGUUGACGCAUGAGAUAUACGC
This 782-nucleotide ribosomal RNA is filed under the name uncultured Neocallimastigales. RNAcentral's name for it is "partial large subunit ribosomal RNA". It matches the Rfam family "Eukaryotic large subunit ribosomal RNA", at positions 24 to 645 of the family's 3401-position model. The record is from RNAcentral. Lineage: Eukaryota; Fungi; Neocallimastigomycota; Neocallimastigomycetes; Neocallimastigales.